UGGGGAAUCUUCCGCAAUGGACGAAAGUCUGACGGAGCAACGCCGCGUGAGUGAAGAAGGUUUUCGGAUCGUAAAACUCUGUCUUUUGGGGCGAACGUGAGUAUGGUGAACAAUCAUAGUCAGUGACGGUACCAAAGGAGGAAGCCACGGCUAACUACGUGCCAGCAGCCGCGGUAAUACGUAGGUGGCAAGCGUUGUCCGGAAUUAUUGGGCGUAAAGAGCGCGUAGGCGGGAUAGUCAGUCUGUUGUAAAGUGCGGGGCUCAACCCCGUGAUGGCAAUGGAAACAGCUAUUCUUGAGUGCAGGAGAGGAAAGUGGAAUUCCCAGUGUAGCGGUGAAAUGCGUAGAUAUUGGGAGGAACACCAGUGGCGAAGGCGACUUUCUGGACUGUGUCUGACGCUGAGGCGCGAAAGCCAGGGGAGCGAACGGGAUUAGAUACCCCGGUAGUCCUGGCCGUAAACGAUGGGUACUAGGUGUGGGAGGUAUCGACCCCUUCCGUGCCGGAGUUAACGCAAUAAGUACCCCGCCUGGGGAGUACGGUCGCAAAACUGAAACUUAAAUGAAUUGACGGGGUCAUAGCUGUUUCCUG
Molecule: ribosomal RNA, 588 nt
Filed under: uncultured bacterium
Lineage: Bacteria
Description: partial 16S ribosomal RNA
Rfam family: Bacterial small subunit ribosomal RNA
Source: RNAcentral